AGAGUUUGAUCAUGGCUCAGGAUGAACGCUAGCUACAGGCUUAACACAUGCAAGUCGAGGGGAAACGACAUCGAAAGCUUGCUUUUGAUGGGCGUCGACCGGCGCACGGGUGAGUAACGCGUAUCCAACCUGCCCAUCACUUGGGGAUAACCUUGCGAAAGUAAGACUAAUACCCCAAUGACGUCUCUAGAAGACAUCUGAAAAGAGAUUAAAGAUUUAUCGGUGAUGGAUGGGGAUGCGUCUGAUUAGCUUGUUGGCGGGGUAACGGCCACCAAGGCGACGAUCAGUAGGGGGUUCUGAGAGGAAGGUCCCCCCACAUUGGGAAACUGAGACACGGGUCCAAAACUCCUACGGGAGGC
RNAcentral lists this ribosomal RNA (359 nucleotides) under uncultured bacterium. Its description in RNAcentral is "bacterial SSU rRNA". It matches the Rfam family "Bacterial small subunit ribosomal RNA", at positions 8 to 349 of the family's 1533-position model. The record is from RNAcentral.